AUUGAACGCUGGCGGCAUGCCUUACACAUGCAAGUCGAACGGUAACAGGUCUUCGGAUGCUGACGAGUGGCGAACGGGUGAGUAAUACAUCGGAACGUGCCUAGUAGUGGGGGAUAACUACUCGAAAGAGUGGCUAAUACCGCAUGAGAUCUACGGGUGAAAGCAGGGGAUCGCAAGACCUCGUGCUACUAGAGCGGCCGAUGGCAGAUUAGGUAGUUGGUGGGAUAAAAGCUUACCAAGCCGACGAUCUGUAGCUGGUCUGAGAGGACGAUCAGCCACACUGGGACUGAGACACGGCCCAGACUCCUACGGGAGGCAGCAGUGGGGAAUUUUGGACAAUGGGCGCAAGCCUGAUCCAGCAAUGCCGCGUGCAGGAUGAAGGCCUUCGGGUUGUAAACUGCUUUUGUACGGAACGAAAAGCCCCGGGUUAAUACCCUGGGGUCAUGGCGGUACCGUAAGAAUAAGCACCGGCUAACUACGUGCCAGCCGCCGCGGUAA
RNAcentral lists this ribosomal RNA (498 nucleotides) under uncultured bacterium. RNAcentral's name for it is "partial 16S ribosomal RNA". It matches the Rfam family "Bacterial small subunit ribosomal RNA", at positions 30 to 523 of the family's 1533-position model. The record is from RNAcentral.